GCUCUCGUCGUCUAGCUGGUCUAGGACACCACCCUCUCAUGGUGGAGAUCGCGGGUUCGAAUCCCGCCGGGAGUG
RNAcentral lists this transfer RNA (75 nucleotides) under candidate division SR1 bacterium CG_4_9_14_3_um_filter_40_9. RNAcentral describes it as "tRNA-Glu". It matches the Rfam family "tRNA". Rfam says of the family: Transfer RNA (tRNA) molecules are approximately 80 nucleotides in length. Their secondary structure includes four short double-helical elements and three loops (D, anti-codon, and T loops). The record is from RNAcentral. Lineage: Bacteria; Candidatus Absconditibacteriota.